GGUAGGAGAGCGUUCUUGGUGCGGCGAAGGUUGACCGAAAGGUUUGCUGGAGCGCCAAGAAGUGAGAAUCCGGGCAUGAGUAACGAACUUCAGGUGAGAAUCCUGGACUCCGAAAUAUCCAAGGUUUCCGCAGCUACGUUGUUCGUCUGCGGGUUAGUCGAUCCUAACAUGAGGCCAGUGUAGUGCUGGCGUAGUGGAUGGAUAACCGGUUAAUAUUCCGGUACUUUGGUAAAUUCGUUAUCAGUUGGGGCGUGACGAUGAAUGGAAGGUUUAGAGUAGAAGUGAAAUGCUACUUUCAAGCGUGUAGUUAGAAGGGGUUGGUAAAUCCGCCUUUUCGUUAUAAAGCGAAACGCAAAUAAGAGUCCCGAUGUAAGUCGGGACAAUUGAAUUGAAUCCAUUUAUCCAAGAAAAGCGUCGCAAUCAGAAUUUACUGAAUUCGUACCAAAACCGACACUGGUGGAUGAGUCGAGAAGACUUAGGAGAUUGAAAGACAGAUGAUUAAGGAACUUGGCAAAUUAACUGGGCGUAAGUUUUACAAGAUGCCCUGCCCGAUAUAACAAUCGGGCUACAACAAAAGAAUGCAUGGCGACUGUUUACCACAAACACAGGUCUCUGCAAACCCGUAAGGGGAAGUAUAGGGGCUGAAACCUGACCGGUGCCAGAAGGUUAAGAAGAUGGGUUUUUCCGCAAGGACUGGCCUGUUUUAUAAGCCCUGGUGAACGUCAGCAGUAACUCUAACUGUUCUAAGGUAGCGAAGUCCUUUGUCGUGUAAGUUACGACACGUAUGAAAGGUUCAACGACUGUGCAACUGUCUUAAUCAUCUAUUCAGUGAAAUUGAAAGAGCGGUGAAGAUGCCGUUUAAUUACAUCAGGACAAAAAGACCCCAUGAAGCUUUACUGGAUCUUUACAUUGAUAAGAAUAUAAAUACUGUCGAGCGUAGGAGGGAGCCGCAAGGCGCCAAUGGAACACCUCCCUUGUUUAUUUUUGAAUCUAACCUAUUCCGCUGAAUCGCGGAAGGGAACAGUGUAUGGUUGCUAGUUUGCCUGGGGCAGGCACCUGCAAAAAAGUAACGCGGGUAUACAAAGGUCAACUUGAUCCGGUAGGAAAUCGGAUCGUAAGUACAAAAGCAUAAGUUGGCUUGACUGUGAGACUUACAAGUCGAAUAGCACUAGUUUACUAGAGCUAUGCUGAGACUAGAUCUCAGUACAGGGUCGAAAGACGGUUUUAGUGAUCCUCGUGACCUAUUUGGUAUAGGCACGGGCUUACUGGAUAAAAGCUACUCUGGGGAUAACAGGCUGGUCGCAUCCGAUAGUUCAUAUUGACGAUGCGGUUCGGCACCUCGAUGUCGUCUUGGCGCAUCCUGGCCCUGAAGAAGGGGCCAAGGGUUGGUCUGUUCGCCCAUUAAAGCGCUGCGUUAGAUGGGUUCAGAGCGUCGCGAGACAGCUCGGUCUCUAUCCGAUGUAAUCGUUCGUUUCUUGAGGGAAUUCGUCUACAGUACGAGAGGACCUAGGCGAGGGAACCGCUGGUGUGCCAGUUGUGCCGUCAGGCGCAUUGCUGGGUAGCUACGUUCUUAUUAGAUAACUGCUGAAAGCAUCUCAAGCAGGAAACUGACCCCGAGAUAAGGAAACGUAGUCCCGUAAGGGACGAGAGAUCGCCGGGAGACUACCGGUUAAUACUCUGCGUGUGGAAGAUCCGUAAGGAUUUAAGCUAAGCAGUGGAAAGAUCGAAGAAAUUCU
This 1736-nucleotide ribosomal RNA is filed under the name activated sludge metagenome. Its description in RNAcentral is "bacterial LSU rRNA". It matches the Rfam family "Bacterial large subunit ribosomal RNA", at positions 1227 to 2925 of the family's 2925-position model. The record is from RNAcentral.